UACGUAGGGGGCAAGCGUUGUCCGGAAUCAUUGGGCGUAAAGAGCGUGUAGGCGGCCAGAUAAGUCCGCUGUGAAAACUCGAGGCUCAACUUCGAGCUGUCGGUGGAAACUAUUUGGCUAGAGUCCGGAAGAGGAGAGUGGAAUUCCUGGUGUAGCGGUGAAAUGCGCAGAUAUCAGGAGGAACACCGGUGGCGAAGGCGGGUCUCUGGGCCGAUACUGACGCUGAGGAGCGAAAGCGUGGGGAGCGAACAGG
This 253-nucleotide ribosomal RNA is filed under the name uncultured bacterium. RNAcentral's name for it is "partial 16S ribosomal RNA". It matches the Rfam family "Bacterial small subunit ribosomal RNA", at positions 524 to 776 of the family's 1533-position model. The record is from RNAcentral.